GACGAACGCUGGCGGCGUGCCUAAUACAUGCAAGUUGAGCGCUGAAGGUUGGUACUUGUACCAACUGGAUGAGCAGCGAACGGGUGAGUAACGCGUGGGGAAUCUGCCUUUGAGCGGGGGACAACAUGUUGAAACGAAUGCUAAUACCGCAUAAAAACUUUAAACACAAGUUUUAAGUUUGAAAGAUGCAAUUGCAUCACUCAAAGAUGAUCCCGCGUUGUAUUAGCUAGUUGGUGAGGUAAAGGCUCACCAAGGCGAUGAUACAUAGCCGACCUGAGAGGGUGAUCGGCCACAUUGGGACUGAGACACGGCCCAAACUCCUACGGGAGGCAGCAGUAGGGAAUCUUCGGCAAUGGACGAAAGUCUGACCGAGCAACGCCGCGUGAGUGAAGAAGGUUUUCGGAUCGUAAAACUCUGUUGGUAGAGAAGAACGUUGGUGAGAGUGGAAAGCUCAUCAAGUGACGGUAACUACCCAGAAAGGGACGGCUAACUACGUG
RNAcentral lists this ribosomal RNA (497 nucleotides) under uncultured bacterium. RNAcentral's name for it is "partial 16S ribosomal RNA". It matches the Rfam family "Bacterial small subunit ribosomal RNA", at positions 28 to 507 of the family's 1533-position model. The record is from RNAcentral.